GGUGAUGAAGUAGAGCUCCAUGAAGUCCAAUGAAGGUUCUUGCUAGGUUGAUUAUGCUGCUAAGUUAUGGAUCCCAUAGUUCUACACAUACUAUACUUUUGUGGUAGUUUCUAUGGCUUCCAUAACUUUGGAGCUUUAUUACCUAUGGUUAGAUCAUUAUUUGGAUUGAAGGGAGCUCUAAACCUUUCUCCA
Non-coding RNA from Lupinus albus (white lupine), 192 nucleotides. NCBI's taxonomy places the organism in Eukaryota, Viridiplantae, Streptophyta, Magnoliopsida, Fabales, Fabaceae. The record is from the annotation of a GenBank genome assembly.